This 300-nucleotide ribosomal RNA is filed under the name uncultured Bacillus sp. RNAcentral's name for it is "bacterial SSU rRNA". The stretch from base 52 to 300 matches the Rfam family "Bacterial small subunit ribosomal RNA", at positions 547 to 795 of the family's 1533-position model. The record is from RNAcentral. Lineage: Bacteria; Bacillati; Bacillota; Bacilli; Caryophanales; Bacillaceae.
GGUAACAGUGUGCGAGCAGCGGGGUGAAGAGGGAGGGCGCAGUGGGUUGCCGGAAGUAGUGGGCGUAAAGCGCGCGUAGGCGGCUGGGCGCGUCUGCUGGUAAAUCCCGGGGCGUAACCCCGGGCGUGCAGUGGAUACGGGCCGGCUGGAGGCAGGCAGGGGAGAAUGGAAUUCCCGGUGUAGCGGUGAAAUGCGCAGAUAUCGGGAGGAACACCGGUGGCGAAGGCGGUUCUCUGGGCCUGUACUGACGCUGAGGAGCGAAAGCGUGGGGAGCGAACAGGAUUAGAUACCCCUGUAGUC